This is a long non-coding RNA of Molossus molossus (Pallas's mastiff bat), 630 nucleotides long. RefSeq lists it as uncharacterized. The record is from RefSeq and is a predicted model, not a curated record. The transcript is spliced from 3 exons. NCBI's taxonomy places the organism in Eukaryota, Metazoa, Chordata, Mammalia, Chiroptera, Molossidae.
AAUACUUUAUAUCGUUUCUGCCUCACCCCAAACCUUCUUUGAUAAGAGGCUGGGAGUUUUAAAAGGAAAAAUGAUUAGCAUUACCGUAACAGCAAGUUGGUUCUCCUGUUGGUCAGCCAGUGUUACGUUUUGAUCCAAUAUUUCCAGCUCAUAUCUAAAUGAAACUUCGCUUCCAGAACUGCAACUGAACAUCUUUAACUGUUUUCAACCGAGUUUUAUAAACGAUGGCUUAAAGCAAAUAUUUGCAAGAAAUAAUCCUCUUCUAAGCAAAUGACCGAGUGAUGGGAAAUGACACGGUUUCAGAGAAGGAAUGAAAGACAGUCGUUGGCCUCAACCAGAACCAGAACCAUUUAGCUGCGCUUCACCUUUGGUCAUCCCGGAGCCGGUGGGUGUUGCUGGGCACGAGGCCAGCGCCCAUCCACACUUACUGUGCUGGAGAGGAGCUACUACAGGUGUUCCUGAUUUGAUAUGAAUGAUCCAAUAAAGUCAGAGAAUCCAGGCUACAGAGAGGAUUCGAGUGUAGAAGUGAAGUCAGAAGGUGAGAGGCAUUGGGAUACGGGGUCCCCGUGGAGCAGCUGAACUUUGAUUUGAGCGGGGCAGCUUCUCCCGUUGUCAACGGAAGGGAAGACA